UACAGAGGUCUCAAGCGUUGUUCGGAUUCAUUGGGCGUAAAGGGUGCGUAGGUGGCGCGGUAAGUCGGGUGUGAAAUUUCGAGGCUUAACUUCGAAACUGCAUUCGAUACUGCCGUGCUUGAGGACUGGAGAGGAGACUGGAAUUUACGGUGUAGCGGUGAAAUGCGUAGAUAUCGUAAGGAAGACCAGUGGCGAAGGCGGGUCUCUGGACAGUUCCUGACGCUGAGGCACGAAGGUCAGGGGAGCAAACGGG
Molecule: ribosomal RNA, 253 nt
Filed under: uncultured bacterium
Lineage: Bacteria
Description: partial 16S ribosomal RNA
Rfam family: Bacterial small subunit ribosomal RNA
Source: RNAcentral